Molecule: ribosomal RNA, 837 nt
Filed under: uncultured marine bacterium
Lineage: Bacteria
Description: bacterial SSU rRNA
Rfam family: Bacterial small subunit ribosomal RNA
Source: RNAcentral
UGGCUCAGAACGAACGCUGGCGGCAGGCUAACACAUGCAAGUCGAGCGCACUCUUCGGAGUGAGCGGCGGACGGGUUAGUAACGCGUGGGAAUAUACCCUUCACUACGGAAUAGCCUCGGGAAACUGAGAGUAAUACCGUAUACGCCCUUCGGGGGAAAGAUUUAUCGGUGAUGGAUUAGCCCGCGUCUGAUUAGAUAGUUGGUGGGGUAACGGCCUACCAAGUCUACGAUCAGUAGCUGGUUUGAGAGGAUGAUCAGCAACACUGGGACUGAGACACGGCCCAGACUCCUACGGGAGGCAGCAGUGGGGAAUCUUAGACAAUGGGCGAAAGCCUGAUCUAGCCAUGCCGCGUGAGUGACGAAGGCCUUAGGGUCGUAAAGCUCUUUCGCCAGGGAUGAUAAUGACAGUACCUGGUAAAGAAACCCCGGCUAACUCCGUGCCAGCAGCCGCGGUAAUACGGAGGGGGUUAGCGUUGUUCGGAAUUACUGGGCGUAAAGCGCGCGUAGGCGGAUUGGAAAGUUGGGGGUGAAAUCCCGGGGCUCAACCCCGGAACUGCCUCCAAAACUAUCAGUCUAGAGUUCGAGAGAGGUGAGUGGAAUUCCAAGUGUAGAGGUGAAAUUCGUAGAUAUUUGGGGGAACACCAGUGGCGAAGGCGGCUCACUGGCUCGAUACUGACGCUGAGGUGCGAAAGUGUGGGGAGCAAACAGGAUUAGAUACCCUGGUAGUCCACACCGUAAACGAUGAAUGCCAGACGUCGGGGGGCUUGCCCUUCGGUGUCACACCUAACGGAUUAAGCAUUCCGCCUGGGGAGUACGGUCGCAAGAUUAAAACUCAAA